Motacilla alba alba is the source of this 3756-nucleotide long non-coding RNA. RefSeq lists it as uncharacterized. Lineage: Eukaryota; Metazoa; Chordata; Aves; Passeriformes; Motacillidae. The transcript is spliced from 3 exons. The record is from RefSeq and is a predicted model, not a curated record.
GCAUGUGAGAGGUUGUGCAAGAAUAUGUCAAACAGUAACAUGAUUAGAUGUGCCAGCAUCCGACACAUCUACUUUCACAAUACUUUGACUCAGUCUUUUUCUGGAAUGAGGUGCUGCCAUGCACUACUGAUUCUGAACAGAUGACUAUCACAGAAGAAGGGACUUCAAUGUAAGAUGGCUGCACAGAAGUUUUGUAAAUGUGAACGAAACUAGAGCAGAGCUGAGGCAUACUAAAGAUGCUACCACAUCCUCAGUGCCACUUUGCCCAGGACACAAAUGAAGCUCUAAAGAAAAGCAUCAGUGGACCACAUCCCUCCUGCUGCUUGCUCAUCCUCGGAUUGAUGACUAAGAAGGAGUUAUUGCAUGAAAGGUGGGGCUAAAUGGAGAAAAAUAAACAAAGAAACAAAAAAACACCCCCUGAGGAUGAAGGACAUCCUCACAUUGUUUCCUGUGUUUCAGCCACUGCCAAAAAAUGAAGUCCAUUCUUCAGGGAAAUUGAGGAAGCCACCACACCUUUUUAAGAAUUUUCUUUUUACUUGCAGAAAUGUAGGAACUUAAUGUCCUUGACCAUACCUGUUUAGUGACAGUCAUAAGGGAAGAGCACCGAAAGAGUCUUCAUUUCUUUGCACGCAGCUUCUUCCGCAAACACCUUCAAGCUUGCAUUUAUGCACCCUGAAAGAAUGAGGAAAUCUACAGUAACAGCAAUAGAGCAGCAUCAUGUUCUCUUCUACAACUUAUUAGCAUUCUGAUUAUUCCCAUUCUUUCUAAAAAUCAUGGAAAGAAUUUCCCUUACUAAUUAUGUAUCAUGCGUUUUUUCUCUACCAUCUCUCUUACUAACUCAUAUUCCUGUUGUUGCCUUUUCAUUGACCACAAAACCACAACAAAAAACAAAAUUAAAAAACCCUCCUUUCUCUCCCCACACUGAUCAUAAAUUGUUUUUUCUGCAUUAGUUACAGUUUGUCUGCAACUGUUUUCAUCCCAGUUGUGAGAGUUUGGUAAGUUUGUGCCGUUUCAAAGUCUGCUCAGGUCUAACUUUCAAAGUUAGCUCACCUGAAUUCUGCCGCUGCUUGGUAAAUUCCAAAACUUCCUCAAGCUGUCUCCUUUACUAGAGUAGGUAAAUAACCCUAAUCCUGUCUUCUCUCAGCUUUCCUUUUUCUCUUUCCACUUAGCAUUUAUUAGAGCUCCUCCAUACACUGUGAGGCUUGUGGAUCAGGGAGCAUGGCUGUUGAAAUCUCCAAAGGAAAGUCAUGGCAAAAUGUAAUAUCAAAUGUUAUGCCCUACAUACUAAGUACUGUUAAAAAUGUGUCCAUUCUUUUCAGUUCUUUCUCUGCCUGCUCAUUUUCUUAUGGCCUAUGAAUAACUUAAGUAUUUUAACUUAUUUAUCAUAAUACUCUAUGUUUUGCAUAGACACUUUGUAAAAAUGUGAUUUGUGCUUAUGAAGUUCCUUUAAAACCUUAAGAUAAAAGGUUACAAUGACUUCCAAGGUAUUACCAUCAAAUUAUUGUUAACUACACUUUGUGCAAAUACUCUGAGGUCUUAAGAGAUCACUUCAAAUUAAGAGAAACUUAAUUACUUAUUACUGUCUUCAUUUGCUGCCCUGAGAUACCAGUAGGCAGGAAUAAGUUCAUAAUUGGUCCUUGUGGCUAAGACAGCAGCUGGUGGCUUUUCAGCAGGUACUGUCCAUAUUUGCAUCUCCAAUUUCCCUAUUAAACUCCCUAUUUUUAUUGAGAAGGUUGGGGCACUCAGAAAGCAAACUUCACAAAGUCCUCCUGGAGGGGUCUGUGAUUGUCUAUGAAUAAUCCAGCAUGACUGUGCACAUUGGCUAACAUCAUAUUUCUGCACCCCACUGUGUAUCCUCUGAAGGAAUACCAGACCAGCAAAAAUCUUAUUUUCCCAAAAAGCAAUUCAUUUGAAGGUUUUUGCAACAAUCAUAUGCUGUACAAAAGAAGGCCAAAACUCCUGAUCAUAUGAACUGUGCUCCAAAAAUCUUCCUAUGACUAGCAGCCCCAUUCCAUGGAUGCUGAGGACAGAGGGAAGUUCUUUGUAGAGUGGGACCUCCUACCCAGAACUACUGCUGUCAGGCUAAGGCAGGGUCCCACAGGUCCUGGCAGCAGCCUGCCCUGACCUCGUUACACCAGUGCAGCCAGCUGGUUACACAGCACAGCUUGGGGACAGCCUGAGGAGUUGAAUGCUGAGCAUUCCAAGCAAUACUAGCCUGCUUAUUUCAGUCUGCAUUUGGAUGACUUUUUUUCUUUAUGGAAAAGGCUAUAUUGUGACAAGAGAAACUUACCACCAAGAAAACACGUUAUUUUCUUGUCCUGCACCCCAUUAUUACCAGAUCUGCCUCCCAUUUUUGCAAGAUUUUUCCCAUGCUGCUGCCUAGACAGCUCCACGGUUGUUGUUACUACAAAUGUGUUCCCUGGGUCCGACUUCUUUUUUGCUUGUCUCCACACCGAGGUUAUUAUCACUGAAAGAUUGCACGGUCUGUAGUUUAUCCUAACUGUUGUGAAUGUAUGGGGAACUGGGAAUUUCAGAUCUAUAGGAUGAGAGACAAGCGUGCAGGGCAGCCUUCCUUCCCUGAUGACUGCUCACUCUUGCCAGUAUCCCUUGCACCUCUCAGUGUCCUGCUCCCCUCUGCAACUGCCAGGCACUGGGUGGGAAGGUGCUUGGGCAUGUGCUGCUCAUGGGGUAAAAAUUCCCAUGCCACCACUAGGGACUUGCCUCUGGAUAGUUUCUCUUCCUUAGACUUCUGUUUAUUCCGCAUUGUCAUUUAGAUACUUAUUUUAAUUAGUCAGUGGCUGUAUCUCAUGUUCCAGGGAAAGCCUGGCAUAUCUCAGUUUCCCCAUCUAUCCCUUAUGAUUUGGCUUGUAGGGAUGAAAAAGAGAUUUUAUGCAGGUUUGGGGGUUUUGUUUGGUUUCCUUUUUUUUUUUUUUUUUACUGUGAAUGGCAUCCAUCAAAAACACCUGCUACAGAUGCAAAGAGAAGUUGUUUUCUCACCAGGUGAGACACCAAAACUUGUAGAUGAGGACAAAUAGAGAAUCUAAAAAGUAAGGUGGGGAUACAGUCAAAUAGAGAAGUCCAGCACAGUAUCCACAAGGCGAUUAUAGUAUUUCUUCACUUUUGCAUUGUUUCCUUUCCCCUCUUUCAGUGGCACUCUGUCAGUAGUUAAUGGCUGGCUUAGCUGCGGCACUGAUUAUUGCCUUCCCCGUGGAGUACUGUUGCAGUAAAAACACGUAAAUGUAAAGAUGUAAAAAUAUACUGAUUUACAUGUAAACAUGUAAAAAUGUAUUGGUUACUGAACUGGUGUGGAAGGAAAGAGCCUCAAGUCCAAUGCCUUAUCUCCAGUGGUGAAGAAGGUGAAAUAUUACCUUGAAAGGAGAAAACACUCUGUGUACCUAACUGCAGAAUGUUGAGGCAAGGGUAAGACAUUGCUCUUGAACUCAAUAUUAACUUAGUACCUCGAGUGUGAGGAGCAGGAUCUCAAACAGUUUUAUCUGUUUGACUUCAUGGCUGUAUAAUCAUAAGCAUUAAAGAAUUACUGGUAUUGGUGGCUGACUUUAAAACAUUAUUCUUCCAGUGUUUCAGCUGGAAUAUUGGAGAGGAGUUUCUAUCCAGAUGUUUUUUCAAUUAUUAAAAGUGCUCAAGUGUGUUAUCGAUUACUCUUCUAAUAGAGGCAAUUUGUGACCUAUUUUUUAAGUCAAUCCCUGAUUUGUUGCCAUGUCAUGAUGCUCUUGAAAAAAUGUUACUGCUGAAAAU